UGCUGGUAUUCCGUUACGAACGAGACCUUAACCUGCUAAAUAGUUACAUCUAACUUCGGUUAUGUGGGCAUCUUCUUAGAGGGACUUUGUAUUUUUCAUGCAAGGAAGUUUGAGGCAAUAACAGGUCUGUGAUGCCCUUAGAUGUUUUGGGCUGCACGCGCGCUACACUGAUGCAGUCACCGAGUUUUUUCUUUCCUGGAAAGGUUGGGCAAUCUUUUGAAAAUGCAUCGUGAUGGGGAUAGAUUAUUGCAAUUAUUAAUCUUCAACGAGGAAUACCUAGUAGGCGCAUGUCAUCAGCGUGCGUCGAUUACGUCCCUGCCCUUUGUACACACCGCCCGUCGCUCCUACCGAUUGAAUGAUCCGGUGAGGCCCCCGGAAUGGAGUCACUGCGCGGUUUUCCGCAAUGAGAUUCUGUGAAGCUGUCCAAACCUUAUCAUUUAGAGGAAGGAGAAGUCGUAACAAGGUUUCCGUAGGUGAACCUGCAGAAGGAUCAAUCCAUAUGACUAGUAGAUCCUCUAGAGUCGACCUGCAGGCAUGCAAGCUUUCCCUAU
Molecule: ribosomal RNA, 551 nt
Filed under: uncultured eukaryote
Lineage: Eukaryota
Description: bacterial SSU rRNA
Rfam family: Eukaryotic small subunit ribosomal RNA
Source: RNAcentral